CCUACGGGAGGCAGUAGUGAGGAAUAUUGGUCAAUGGACGAGAGUCUGAACCAGCCAAGUAGCGUGAAGGAUGACUGCCCUAUGGGUUGUAAACUUCUUUUAUAUGGGAAUAAAACGUUCCACGUGUGGGAUUUUGUAUGUACCAUAUGAAUAAGGAUCGGCUAACUCCGUGCCAGCAGCCGCGGUAAUACGGAGGAUCCGAGCGUUAUCCGGAUUUAUUGGGUUUAAAGGGAGCGUAGGUGGAUUGUUAAGUCAGUUGUGAAAGUUUGCGGCUCAACCGGAAAAUUGCAGUUGAAACUGGCAGUCUUGAGUACAGUAGAGGUGGGCGGAAUUCGUGGUGUAGCGGUGAAAUGCUUAGAUAUCACGAAGAACUCCGAUUGCGAAGGCAGUUCACUGGACUGCAACUGACACUGAGGCUCGAAAGUGUGGGUAUCAAACAGGAUUAGAUACCCCUGUAGUC
RNAcentral lists this ribosomal RNA (460 nucleotides) under uncultured bacterium. RNAcentral describes it as "partial 16S ribosomal RNA". It matches the Rfam family "Bacterial small subunit ribosomal RNA", at positions 338 to 795 of the family's 1533-position model. The record is from RNAcentral.